UUCCUUACGCAUGGAACUAACACUUCUUGCAAAUGACCAAUAAGUGGAUGCAGAGUUAAUGCUAGUUAUACACUAUUUCCUAAUAGCAACCAACAAGUUUAAAUACUAGUAGGUUUGCAAUUUUUAAUCUAUCCUAUUUGGAU
RNAcentral lists this small nuclear RNA (143 nucleotides) under Dictyostelium purpureum. Its description in RNAcentral is "U4 spliceosomal RNA". Lineage: Eukaryota; Evosea; Eumycetozoa; Dictyosteliales; Dictyosteliaceae. The record is from Rfam by way of RNAcentral.